AAACCUUCAAGCUCAGCUUGGUGAUGGGUGACUGUCCUCCCCUCGCGGGUGGACUCGCCUCAAAAACAUUGGCGGCCGGUACAUUGGCUUCGAGCGCAGCAGAAACGCGGUCUCGAGCCCGGUGGAUCGGCUCCCAUAAGCCUAUUCUUUUA
This 152-nucleotide unclassified non-coding RNA is filed under the name uncultured Preussia. RNAcentral describes it as "sequence contains ITS2". The record is from RNAcentral. Lineage: Eukaryota; Fungi; Ascomycota; Dothideomycetes; Pleosporales; Sporormiaceae.